RNAcentral lists this long non-coding RNA (11999 nucleotides) under Panax ginseng (ginseng). Its description in RNAcentral is "long non-coding RNA (PGIN_LNC016166)". The record is from RNAcentral. Lineage: Eukaryota; Viridiplantae; Streptophyta; Magnoliopsida; Apiales; Araliaceae.
UCAAAUUGAAAAUACCGCUUGAAAAAGGAAAAAAAACAUUAAUUUUUGUCCAAUUCAAACCCUAGAAGGCAGGCCUUUGUUGAAAAGGAGAUCUACUCAAAGCAGCAAGCUGUUGUUCGAGUUUGGUUUAAGGUGCGUUUGGUUCCCCCAGGCCCCAACUAAUGCAAUUAGUGUGAUUUCUUUUAAAUUCAAGGUUGUGCUUAGAAGUUAGAUCAUGCAUUGAACUAUUAUUUUGUCUUUUUAACAAUAUAGGUAGUGAUCAUGUUAUUUGCUGAUAGCAUUUCUAUGGACAAAUGUAAUGAUUGUAUAUUUAGGAGAAAUCAAACUCUAAUUCAAGUUUAUGUACUACUUGACGUUGUACAUAUGAAGAUUCUUCAAAUUGGGAAUCAUUAGUUGGUAAAAUAUUAUGAAAUGAAUUUUGAUUUAUGCGUAAUCUGUUAGUGGACCAUAAUUCAUGGAUUUUGUGUUUGUAAACACGAGUUGGCAGAUUUUAUAUGAAAUUCGUAAAAGCUGAAUCUUGGAAAUUAAAAGUAUAAUUACAAAUGUCGUAUUCCUUCAUCAGUUGAAAUAGUUUUAUGACCCCAUUACUCCAAAACAUUAGUCUCAACUACUCUUCCAAGGUUGGGGUACCUUGUGAAAGGAGGUGUGUGUUGUAAUUCUGUAAUUAAGCACACUUAGAGGGGGUGAAUAGUAAGCAGAUUAUUAAAAUGUAUAACAGAAACAAAAGAAUAAUAAAUCACAUCAAGAUUUUUAUGUGGUUCAGCCCUAUCCUUUACUCUAGUGGCCUAAUCCACGUCUAAUACCAAAUGGUAUUGGAGACUCUUUUUUAUUAAACUUUAAUAUUCAAAAGAUUACAGAAAACUCCCUGUACAACGAAGAUCGAUUCCGACUUGGACACCUCUGCCACUUUGCACCUCUGCAACUUCUCUCACCUCUGAGACCUUGAUGCUACUAUGUUUACAAUAGAUAUUAAAAGAAGAAAUACAAUAACUACACUGUAAACUGAGAUCUAAAGAAUGAUAUAGUGACUUGUAUCUAUCUCGAAUUAGUUUUCUGAUGAGUUUCUGUUCUGCAGUCCUGUGUCCCCUUUGAGCCGAGCAACCAGUAUAUAUAAACGAGAGAAGAGCAACGACUAGAACAAGCAACGACUAGUUCUUAAUUGAAAUAGGAGAUAUACGUUAGCAAUAAAAUCUCAUCCUAUUAUAAAAUCUAACAGAUAAAAUAUGUAACAAUAUAAAACAGCUCAGUAGAUAUAUACUCCCUCCGUCCCAGGAUAAAAGUCCUUAUUACUAUUUUGGGUUGUCCCAUGUUAAAUGUCUACUUUCUUUUAAUAACCAAACUUUUACACAUUUGUUCCUAUUAUGUCCGUAGCAUUAAAUAUCUCAUACUUUUCUUAUUCUAAUUCUCUCUCCAUAUUUAAUGACAUUAUUAUGGAUAAUUUUGUUAUUUUAUUCCUCUUCUUAAUAUGCGUGAAAAGUCCACCAGGACUUUUAUCCUGGGACGGACGGAGUAUGAGAUAUACUGCUAUGAAGGAGUCAAAUAAUAUCCAAAGUUUAGCUGAAAGAGUCCAACUAGCUGUUAGCAACUUUGAAUGAGAUUCCUUAAAUAUACCAACUCCUAGAAAAUCUCCAAACCAAUAUUCGAUAACCAUAUAUAUAUAUAUAUAUAUAUCAAAAAUAUGAGGAACUUGAGGAAUAUUAAACAGAUCUAGAUAUAAACAUAUAUUUCCUAGUUAUAUUAGUUUCCAUAAAAAAUUGAAGCACGUGGCAAAGAGCUACCAUACAAAUUGAUUAUCGACCCAUUUCAAAAUCUAUUCAGCCCAUUUAAUAACUUAUAUUCUCUAGCAUAUUGUUAUCAUUAAAAUUAUAAAAUAUAAAAACCAACAUUCUUCACCUUUUUGAUGAUGACAAUAUAUUAAACUUUGUAAUCAACAUGCUCCUUCUAAGUAUAUGGCUCCCCCUAAAUUUAUGCAUAUUAAGGAGCAAAAAAAAGACUUGAUCCAAAUAACCAUCAUUGCAUAACAUGAAUACCAAUUCAAAUCAAUUCAAAUACCAAAUAUCUCUCCCCCUUUGUCAUUAUAAAAAAAAAUAAGACUAUGCAUAUUAAUCAUUAAGCACAAGUUGAUUAUAGCAUAAUCAACUUGUAAUCAACAUGCUCCCUCUAAGUAUAUGGCUCCCCCUAAAUUUAUGCAUAUUAAGGAGCAAAAAAAAGACUUGAUCCAAAUAACCAUCAUUGCAUAAAAUGAAUACCAAUUCAAAUCAAUUCAAAUACCAAAUAUCUCUCCCCCUUUGUCAUUAUAAAAAAAAAAUAAGACUAUGCAUAUUAAUCAUUAAGCACAAGUUGAUUAUAACAUAAUCAUCAUUACCCAAAUAUCUCUUCCCCUUUGUCAUCAACAAAAAGUAACAAAAUCAAUAUAUAGCAAAUAAACAAAAUGAUCAUACCUUUGCGAUUUGUUACAUAUAUAUACCAACAUUUUGUUACCAAUAAUAAACUUGAUAAUUGAGCUCCUUAGUGUAGUCUCUCAAAGUAAAGUAUUAUUCGUCUCCAUUUUGACCUUGAGAUAUCUACAAAACAAACAAAUCGUCUCUACCUUUUUGGUACCCAAAUCUUCUUGGGUCCUUUUGUGUUAGUAGCAUAUAAAUCACAUUUCUUUACCCAAAUUUGUUUUAUUCUAAUUUUAUUACAAUUAGAAUCAAAAUGUCCUUUAAAACCACAUUUUUUACAAGUAACAAACGGUGAACAAUAAAGUGGCUUAAACCUUGUUUUACUAUUAAUCAUUCUAAUAUUAUCAUUAAUUCUAUUUUUCACAUUUUUAAUAGGAUUAUACCUAAUUCCUUGUUUAUCGGACUAGACCUUUGUGCCCCUAACAUAACAUUUAGGUUCUCUUCUCCUUGCACAAAUUUAGCAAGAUCAUUUUUUAAAGAUGUUAUUUCUGCAUUUGUUAUAUUAUCAUCAUGUUGAACAUUCAUCAUUUUUCCAUCAUUAAAAGCAUCUAUACAUGCAUCUCUCAUUUUCAAUUUUUUUUAACACUUCAUUUUCAUUUUUAAGAUAUUCAUUUUUUUUUUCUCUUUAAUACGUGACUUAACUUCAUUCAUUAGCUCAUUUACACAAUUCUUAAAAUAGGUAGUUUUCUUUUUGAGCUGUUGAUUUUUAUUUUGUAAAGCAAUAUAAUCAGGCAUAUAUAUUUCAAAAGCUUCAUGAAAAUUUGUUAUCUCAAGUUGAUCAUCAUUUUCUAGUCCCAUGAAACAGAGUUGGACAGUUUCUUCUUCUUGUUUCGUUUUGGACUUGCUCACUAGAGUUGAGCUACCUUUUUGAUUUUUCCUUUGUUUCUUCCUUUGAAGUAGUCUCUCGAGUUUUCUUGAGAGCAUUUCAAUUUCUUCAUCAAAAUCUUCGUGAUUACUUUUAUUGUUGCUCUCGACUUGAAGUGCCAAUGUCUUCUUUAUUGGUGCUUCAUCUUCUUCAUCAUACCUUCUUAACUGAUUUUCAAAUUCUUCAAGCUCUCUAAAUAAAGUGAGAGUUUCCAUUGUUUGUUGUUGAAUCUUGAAGAGUUGUAACCUUUGGUGCGAAUCCUUUAGGCAUGACUCUAAGUAUCCUUCUGUUUAUCUCCCUUUGAUCAAUUUUCAGUCCCUUUGAUCAAUUUCCUAGUUCAUUAGAGUAAGAAAUCUCCCUUGAGCUUCAUUAAUUGUUUCAUCCUUUUCUAACUUGAAUAGCUCAUAGUCUUGCAUUAGCAGUACUUAACUUCACCUCUUUUACUUUGGAAGUACCUUUGUGGCUUGUCAAGAUAGUAUCCCACAUUUCUUUUGCUGUGUUGCACGAUGAUACUUUAUCAAUUUCAGCUUGGACCAUUCCGCUUAGCAAGGUGUUCAUGGCUCUUGAGUUGUAAGAAAACAUGUAGCUUUCAUUUUCAUCCAUGUCCAUGAGAGUCUUGAGUCUACCAUCAUCAGGUCUAGGAAUAACUGGUCUAUUUUCAACAACCCCCAUUCCCAUGGGUCUCGUUUGAGAUAGAUCAUCAUUCUAAACUUCCAAAAGUUGAAGUUUUCACUUCCGAGCAACAAAGGUGGUCGGCUUGUAGAUUGACCUUCUUGAAAAUAGAGGUGUGCCAUAGGAUCAUUCCCUACAACCUGCAAAGAUCAAUAUUAGUAGAGCCUUGUUUUGAUACCAAAUGUAAUUCUGUAAUUAAGCACACCUAGAGGGGGUGAAUAGGUGUAAAUACCAAAAAAUGAUCUACAGUGGUCAAUUUUUAAAGUUUACUACUGCAAGUUAUAAUUGGACGAUCUAACCCUGUCCGUAUUAGUUAUGUUCUUCGUCUGUUAUAAACGGGCAACUAAUACCUGUCUGUUUUAGUAUAUAUUCUUCGUCUGUUAUAAUCAGACAGCUAAUACCUGUCGGUUUUAGUAUAAUUUUUGACUACGACUAAAACCAAAAAUUGCAAAUUAUUAAAACGUAUAACAGAUCAAAAGAACAAUAAAUCACACUAAAAUUUUUACGUGGUUCAGCCCCUAUCUUCUACUCUAGCGACCUAAUCCACGUCCAAUACCAAAUGGUAUUGGAGACUCUUUUUAUUAAACUUUAAUAUUCAAAAGAUUACAGAAAACUCCCUGUACAACGAAGAUCAAUUAUGACUUGGACACCUCUGCCCCCUUUGCACUUCUGCAACUUCUCUAACUUCUCUCACCUCUGAGACCUUGAUGCUUCUGUUGUACAGACUGAAUAUUAAAUGAUCACCCAAGCCAACCUAGACUUGUACUAUGUUUACAAUAGAUAUUAAAAAAAGAAAUACAAGAACUACACUGUAAACUGAGAUCUAAAGAAUGAUAUAGUGACUUGUAUGUAUCUCAGAUUAGUUUUCUGAUGAGUUUCUGUUCUGCAGUCUUGUGUAGAACAAGCAACGACUAGUUCUUCUUAAUUGAAAUAGGAGAUGUACGUUAGCAAUAAAAUCUCAUCCUGCUCUAAAAUCUAACAGAUAAGAUAUAUAACAAUAUAAAACAGUUCAAUAGAUAUAUAUGAGAUAUACUGCUAUGAAGGAGUCAAAUAAUAUCCAAAGUCUAGCUAACAGAGUCCAACUAGUUGUUAGCAACUUUGAAUGAGAUUCCUUAAAUAUACCAACUCCUAGAAAAUCUCCAAACCAAUAUUCGAAUUGGUAACCAUAUAUAUAUAUAUAUAUAUAUAUAUAUAUAUAUAUAUAUUAGAAAGAUAUCCCAGUAAUUCAAAAAUAUGAGGAACUUGAGGAAUAUUAAACAGAUUUAGAUAUAAACAUAUAUUUCCUAGUUCUAUUAGUUUCCAUAAAAAACUGAAGCACGUGGCAAAGUGCUACCAUACAAAUUGAUUAUCAACCCAUUUCAAAAUCAAUUCAGCCCAUUUAAUAACUUAUAUUCUCUAGCAUAUUGUCAUCAUUAAAAUUACAAAAUAUAAAAACCAACAUGUGUGGGUUGCCCUACUCUGAGUCAGGUACUACUAUGUUACUUUGUUGAAGAUUAGAUACACACACACUGGCAAACACAUGCACAUUUUGAUGGCUGAGAGGUUAGCGAGUAUGAGUCACUUGAGAAGUCUUGAUCAUUUGGACCAAAAUAGGGAUUACACGAGUAAUGAAUUGGCUUCAUAUUUAUCACAUCACAAUCUUUUGGCUCCUGAGUUUAUGCAUUUAUGUUCCUUGUGCAGUUUUACCUUUUAAUUUUCCUCCCUUUCUGAGUGUACUGUGUAUUGAAUGAAUCAAUUUUUUUUUCUUCUUUCCCUUUUCAAUUGUUUGCUGGUGGUGGCUAAAUAAAUGCUUGGCAAUUGAUUUUUGCUUAAAUCACCAUGUUGUCCCACUUAUAUCAAAUUUUGAUAGUCCAGACUAGCACUUCUUCAUUUAUAAAUCCUCUUUUACUUUUUGGUUUAAUUCCGUUUGUAUUGAUGCUAGGCAAAAGGCAAAAUUUGUUCCCAUCACUUCUGGAGAAUGGGUCGAUUUUUUUAUUAAGUUUUUAAUUUUUAAUUUAUAUUUCCAGGUGAUUGGUUGGACUGUAGGAGGUUAAAAUUUCUUAGCACAUAGUCUGCAUUGUGCUGCGACCUUGAAUAUAUAUAUAUUUUAAUCUUCAAUUGAUUUCAGGAACCUAUCAUACAAAGCCUUGCAACAAGACAUGCAUUCAAGUGCCAGCUAUAUACUUCAGCAUGUUUAAGAUACUUACUGCAGCCGGGGUGGAUGGAGUAGAAGGGCAAUGCCUAUGCUGCCUUUUUUUUUUAUAGGUAUAGGGGGCAGAAUUUAUAAGUUAAUAAACUCAAGGGGGCAGAUUAAUAGAAAGUUAAACUUGUUGGGGGCAAAAGAAAACAGUUCCAUUCUAAUUUAAUUCAACAAAGUAAAGAUUAUAGAGUCAGAGAGGCGAGAGCAUACUUGAAAGAACUCGUUUCUCUGCUUUACUUCUUGGCUGAAAAACUGAAACACCGCGAGUUUGUGACCACUGCGACUUCUCCUUUUCUCAGCGACGACCACCGUGACCUCGUCUCCUCUUCUCAUUUCAUUGCAGUCUCUACUCUCUAGUCUCUUCCCUUGCCCCAUGCGCAUUAGAAGGUAACUAAAUUAUAGCUUUUUUUUUGUUUGAUACUUUAAAAUUUGUAGUUUGUUUGAAUUUGUUGUUGGUUGGAGACUUGGGGUUAAACUUUAUUCAAUUUAUUUGAUGUAUUUGUUGUAUUUUGAACUUAAGAGGUAACUAAUUAGGGCUUUUUUUUGUUUGAUAGUUUAAAGUUUAAAUUUAUUUGAAUUUGUUGUGGGUUGGGGUUAAAUAAAUAUGCAGUUAUGCACUUCAUUUUUUUUUUAAUUUAUUAUGUUUGUGAAUUGUGAGUUGAUUUUGACUGUUCUGGCUUGAUUUUGUUUGAAUAUAGAAGGCAAAUUUGGUUCGAGGCUUUGUGCAUACGGUUGAAAUUGUAAUUGUUUGGAGAAUCAUUCAAAUUGAGUUAUGACAAGUAACCGAAGUAAAAUUUUAAAUUUUAUCUAAAUGUUUUUUAUUUUGAAAUUCCUUUUUUAGUUUGGGUUAUGAUUUAUGAAUAUUUAUUUAUUGUAUAUUAUAGAAUUCUAUUUAUGUUGCAUAAAAUAAUUGUUUGUUUGGGGUUGUAUACUUGUAUCUUGAUUGAUUUAGGUAUUCGUGACAUGUGGUCAAAAUUCAAAUGUUCCAAAACUGAGUCAUCAACAUCACAAUCCAUACGAGUCAAUAAGACAACUCAAAAUCUCUCAAAACCCCUAUCCAAGAACAAUCUCAAAAUAUCAAUUCUCAAUCCCAAGUUGAAUUCAAUUUAGAAGAACUUGUUGCAGAUUCGGGACUAAGACCAUCUAUAAUGAAAUAUGAUGCUAAGGAAUUUAAUAAUUGGAGGAAGACGAAAUACUUAUUUGAACAUGUUGGAGAGUCACCUAAUAGUAUUCAUAGACAAUGCAUGGUAGCUUGUCACGAUUUGAGGAACCGAAAGCAACACAGAUAUAGCAAACUUGUCAAUAUAUCUGACCAAGAAAAAAAAGAUUGCAAUCUUCGUUUGGUCUCAUCUAUUAAGUGUGUUUGGUUGCUUUUAAGUGAAGGGUUACCUUUCUGUGGCCAUGAUGAAUCAGAUGCUUCAAAAAGGUGAGAUUUGUUUAUUUCGAUUCUAAAGUUUUUAUCCGAGAAUAAUGAUGUAGUGAAUAAAGUUGUGUUGAAAAAUGCUCCAGGGAACCACAAAUUGACAUCACCUUUAAUCCAAAAAGACAUUUGUAGUGCCGCUACAUUUUUGACCAUAAAAGCUAUAGUUGUAGAGAUUGGGGGUAAUUUUUUCUCUUUGUUAGUUGACGAGGCUCGUGAUUAGACCUGGCAAACGGGCCCAAAGCCCGCGGGACGGCCCGCCCGCCAAAAAGCGGGCUUUGGGCCGCAUUUUUUUGGCCCAUAGAAUUCCUGGCCUUUUUGGCCCGGCCCAGCCCGCGCCCGCCUGUUCACUUUUGGGCCCAAAAAAUGUCAAAAAAAUAAGCAUAAAACACUCUCGGCCCGCCCGUGAACCUGCGGGCUUUGGGCUUACAUUUUACGGCCCGUCAAAACCCGGGCCGUUUUGGCCCGGGCCGUCAGAGGCCCGACCCACGCCCGCCCGCCCGUUUGCCAGGUGUACACUUUACAAAUAUAAAAUCACAAUUAAAAUCAAAAACAAAACAANNNNNNNNNNNNNNNNNNNNNNNNNNNNNNNNNNNNNNNNNNNNNNNNNNNNNNNNNNNNNNNNNNNNNNNNNNNNNNNNNNNNNNNNNNNNNNNNNNNNUUUUACAACACAUGGAUUGAGCAUGUCACGUGUACGUAGGCAAGGAUAUAAUGAAGCUAGUAACAUGCGAGAGGAAUUCAAUGGUCUCAAGAGUUUUAUUUUGUCAGAGAAUAAGUCUGCUUUUUAUGUUCAUUGUUUGGCUCAUCACCUUCAAUUGGCACUUGUAGCAGUUGCAAAAAAACAUAAGAAACUUAAAUCAUUCUUUGAUUAUCUUACAAUUUUGGCAAAUAUUAUUGGAGCUUCUUGCAAGCAUAAAGAAGUUCUUCGAGUGAAGCACAUAGAAAGAAUAAUUCAAGGAGUUACUUAUGGUGAAAUCAAGACCGGGCGUAAGUUGAAUCAAGAAGCGACCUUGAAGCGGCCCGGAGACACACGGUGGAGCUCACAUUAUGACACAAUUCUUAGUGUUUUUAACUUAUUUUCUGAAACAAUUGAAGUGUUUGAGAUAGUAGAAGAUGAUGCAUCGGGGGAUAAAAGUACAGAAGCAGACACUUUGUUGCAUUUCAUGCGAGAUUUUGAUUUUGUAUUCUUGUUGCAUUUAAUGAAAAAAGUUUUGGGAAUCACGAAUACCUUGUCACAAGCAUUACAAAAGAAAGAUCAUAAUCUCGAAAAUGCAAUGACUUUACUUACUGUCUCAAAGCAACGGUUACAAAGCAUGAAAGAUUCGGGUUAGGAGAGUUUGUUGGUAGAAACUACUGAAUUUUGUAAUGUGCAUGGGAUAGUCGUUCGAGAAAUGGAAGGUAUCUUUUUGGUUCAAGGGAAAUCACGUCGGAGUGAAAAAGUCACCAAUCUUCAUCACUUUCAGGAUGAGUUGCUCUAUACAGUGACAGAUUGUCAACUUCAAGAAUUGAAUGAUCGAUUUGACAAUGUUAAUACAGCGUUGCUCUCAUGUAUGGCGUGUCUCGAUCCAAGUAACUCUUUCUCAACAUUUGACAAGGAACGGUUGAUUCAAUUUGCAAAGUUUUACCCAUUGGAAUUUCAAAAUAGAGAUCUUUGGGGGACUGAUGAUGAACUUUAAACUUACAUUGCAGAUAUGAAAAGUAAUCCUGAAUUUUCUAAUGUGAAAGGGAUUGAUGAAUUUGCUCAAAAGUUGGUUAAGAAGAAUAAGGCUGAUUUUUAUCCUCGAGUGUAUUUGAUGUUGAAAUUGGCUUUGAUUUUGCCGGUUGCUAUUGCCUUGGUGGAGAGGAUAUUUUCAGCAAUGAAUAUUAUUAAAACCACUCUCCGAAACCAAAUGGGCGAUAAAUGAUUGAGUGAUUGUUUGGUUCCUUAUAUUGAAAAUGAUGUAUUUGAAACUAUUGAUAAUGAAGCUACCUUAGAACAUUUUCAAGCUAUGUGAGGUCUAGAAGGAUAGCAUUGUAAUUUGUAAACAUUAUUAUGAUUAGUUAAUAUUAUGAUUAGUUCAAGUUUUCUUUAUUUAACUUCAACAAUAAAAAGUUAAAAUCCGCCCAUGCCAGGAAAAAUUCCUGGAUUCGCUCCUGGCUGUAAGAAUGAUGUUUUCACUGCUUUUUAUUUCUCUGUUUGCCAAUGAAGUCACUGUACAUGCAUUAUAUUCCAUGCGUAUGCAAAAAGUAAUAUCUUCUUAAUUCUGUAUGCCUGUGUGUAGGCUUCCUGCUGUAGGUGCUGGUAAACAAGCUCAUCAGACCUUCAUGUCACUAUAUAUGCAUCAGCAACUAUAUAGCAGAAGUUUAUUUUUGUGCUGAAUACCCCAGAAACUGUCAUUUAAAAUGUUAUGGAGGUAGUAUUAAUUUGAGAAAGGUUAAUUUCUUUUGUGCAAUGAUCCAACGAUGUUUUCCUUCUCUCUCCCUCUCUCCCCCCUUUUCUUUAUAAGCUUCUGCCUUUUGUUGUUCAGUUAUUUCCCCUCUUUCUACACUAACAAACUCUGCCUUUCUAUGUUCUUGAAGAAUGUAGUGCAUCUGUGCAUAUGAACUUUUGAGUGAGUAAAUGCGGGUAACAUUGUUAGAAUAUAGCCAAAGAGUUAUCACUAUAUUGGUAUUGUCCAUAAAUGCGCUAGUGGGCUUUGUUUCUUGUAAAUUCGUUCAACUUGUAUGUGAAUCAACCCAUUUGCUAACAUAGUUAUGCAUAUCUGGACCUGUAGUCAAGUCAACCACGAGAGUGAUUGCCUACUAUUAUAAUGAUCUAGAAUUCUUUUAGUCCUUAGUCAUGCAAUUUUUGCUUGCACAAACCAUUUCUUGGAUCUUUCGCUUCAACUCUUAUUGUAAAAGUCGGUGAAAUGCUUACUAAUCUGCAAACAAGUGGUCAUCAUUAACCCUAUCAUAUAUUAGUAGUUGCAUCUUUACUAGGGUUGACCUGUUAAGAAACAAGGUAAGGUCAUUUUCUGUAGUUGUUAAUGUUGACUUAAAUGCAUGUGUACUCACUGUCUAUUUGUUUCUACUAAGUUUUCAGCUUUUUAGCAUUUGACUGAAACUUUUCUCCCCCAUUUAUUAAAGAAGAAUGUAGGAGAGAUUACGCAUAUGUUUUCAACUAAAAAUCUUUUCCAGAAAUUAACCUAUGAAUGUCGAAAAUGACUGGUGAAAAUUUCAUGGGAAUUUAUGCAUCUUGACAGUAUAAAACAAAUGUAAACAUUGUAAUGCAAUUAGAUGCCAAUCCUUAUUUCAAUUUUGUUAGAUUUUAUUCAAUACUCAUCGAUGUCAAAUAUUUCACUAAUUCCUGCUGUCCUCAGGAGUACAUGGUUGUACAAGUAUCUCUCUUACUAUUAAGUAUAUACAUUGUUGUAACUUGACAAAAAAAAAAGAAAAAGAAAAAGAAGUCUAUACAUGUUAUAGAUCUCCUAAGGUGGAAGAACUAGCAAACACUGCUUUGAUAUAAUGCCUCCACAGUUCCACUAGUAGAUAAUUAGAGUUUUUCUCUGUUGCAUUAUAACAAAAUUCUCAAUUUUUCAUAGAUUUCUUAAUCAUUAACGAGUUUUUCACCGAGUAUAAAAACAGAUGAAAAUAAAAAUUUCUCUAUAUUCUGAUCGACCAUCACCUUAGUUUAAUAUGAAUCUUAGUCUAUUUUGAUUAUUGUUUAUAAUAAAAACCGAAGGAUGUCCCCUUUUAUCUGCAAAAGACCUCUUGAUCCUAAACCGCUGUUGGUGGGAAAUAUUUUUAAAUUGAUGUAAAGAUGACCAUGAAGUUCUUGGAUGAAUGUAUGUGAUUUUCUGUCUAAGUAUUUUUCAGGUACCCUUGCUAUGUCAUAUUGAAGCUGUACAAUGUCUUUAAUGCAAUUGUGGAUUUUGUUCUUGCAGAUUGCGCAGAGAGGCAGUGAAAUUUGCAGACAUGAUUUAUAGAGUCGUCGAAAUAUUCGUUCCCCGUUUGCAAUUCCAGGAAUAGAAAAUACAUGCUUGGCGGAGGGGAUCAGGCAGUUAUCAAUGCAUCAUGAUCUGCUUCAGUUGAAAUGGUAACACAUACAGUUUCCUUUCUGAUCAUCCUCUGCAUAAUGGCUCGUGCAAAAAUUAAUUCUUCAUUUGGUCGUGAUAUUCAGAGUUCAAAAUCAUCACCUGCCUUGUUCCCCUUGCAAAUUUCAAAUUUGAACAAAUCAAAAAGAUGAAAAUCAUCUUUCUGAACAUAUUUACAAACCUGUGAGCAAAAUCUUACUGAAUACUGCUUGAGCUAUAUCCUGUAGUUUGUUGGAAACCUUCUUUUUUAUAGUGCUUCAUUUCGUUAAAGAUACAUGCUCAUAUUUUGUGAAUCUACUAUCUCUGUGAUGGUUGUAUUUUCUCUAAGCUUAAUUCUUGAUAGCUGAGCAGAUUAAUUAAUUUCCAU